Molecule: transfer RNA, 87 nt
Filed under: Candidatus Amesbacteria bacterium RIFCSPHIGHO2_01_FULL_47_34
Lineage: Bacteria; Candidatus Amesiibacteriota
Also listed under: 1 other name
Description: tRNA-Ser
Rfam family: tRNA
About the family: Transfer RNA (tRNA) molecules are approximately 80 nucleotides in length. Their secondary structure includes four short double-helical elements and three loops (D, anti-codon, and T loops). Further hydrogen bonds mediate the characteristic L-shaped molecular structure. tRNAs have two regions of fundamental functional importance: the anti-codon, which is responsible for specific mRNA codon recognition, and the 3' end, to which the tRNAs corresponding amino acid is attached (by aminoacyl-tRNA synthetases). tRNAs cope with the degeneracy of the genetic code in two manners: having more than one tRNA (with a specific anti-codon) for a particular amino acid; and 'wobble' base-pairing, i.e. permitting non-standard base-pairing at the 3rd anti-codon position.
Source: RNAcentral
GGAGGAGUGCAGGGAAUGGUAACCGGACGCUCUCGAAAAGCGUUGCCGUAAUACGGCGUGUGGGUUCGAGCCCCACCUCCUCCGCCA